GAUGAACGCUCGCUACAGGCUUAACACAUGCAAGUCGCGGGGCAGCAUGGGGGUUGCUUGCAAUCCCCGAUGGCGACCGGCGCACGGGUGAGUAACGCGUAUCCAACCUGCCCUUCACCACGGGAUAACCCGGCGAAAGUCGGACUAAUACCGUAUGUUGUCCAUUGACGGCAUCCGAUUUGGACGAAAGGUUUGGCGGUGAAGGCUGGGGAUGCGUCCGAUUAGCUGGACGGCGGGGUGACGGCCCACCGUGGCGACGAUCGGUAGGGGUUCUGAGAGGAAGGUCCCCCACACUGGAACUGAGACACGGUCCAGACUCCUACGGGAGGCAGCAGUGAGGAAUAUUGGUCAAUGGGCGUAAGCCUGAACCAGCCAAGUAGCGUGCAGGAUGACGGCCCUAUGGGUUGUAAACUGCUUUUAUGCGGGGAUAAAGUGGCCCACGUGUGGGUUUUUGCAGGUACCGCAUGAAUAAGGACCGGCUAAUUCCGUG
RNAcentral lists this ribosomal RNA (490 nucleotides) under uncultured bacterium. RNAcentral's name for it is "partial 16S ribosomal RNA". It matches the Rfam family "Bacterial small subunit ribosomal RNA", at positions 28 to 507 of the family's 1533-position model. The record is from RNAcentral.